ACAGUCCUGCAGGCCACGAGGGGACCUAGAGGAGAGGCCUUCUCGACCACUGCAAAGAGUUCAGAGAGGGAGAAGGCCAGGGGCAGCCUUGGUAGAGGGAAGCCCUUCGUUUCUCUCAACCUACGGUAAGACAUGAUCUUCUUCUCCGUGGCAAAUCGUGUCAUAAAGAUCUUUCCACUCACCUGCCAAUGUCAGGUGUUGAAGCACAGCGAAAAGGAGGACGGCGAGUCUCCAGCGUGGAUUUAAGUGGGGAAGGGGUAGGACCUGGCUUGUGGGAACAGCAAGGCUAGAGCAUCCCCGUUAGAAGUGGGAACUACGGGAACCAGAGCGAGGCAAACGCAUGAAAGGAGGACAUUCUGGAUGGCCUUGGGAGGUGGCUGGGGGGGGGGGUGUGCGGCAGGAGCGGUUCCUCCAGAACUUCCCAGGCAUCUAUAUGCCAAAGAAGUUGGUGCUACAUCAACUAGAGAUGUCAGGCCUUGGGUUCUUGUGCUGCUACGUAAGCAUGGCGGGGCUGGAGCAACUGCUUUUCUCCAGUAGCUGUCAAACCAGCUAGAAAUGUCCCAUGGGAAUCUAACAAGGGCGACUGCAAGAUGCAGGUCUGGCUUCGCGUUAGGCCACGAUGCUACCUUACAUGCUCGUUUUGGGAAUGUCCUUCUUUCUCCUUGGCGGAGCUCUCUUUUUGAGGGGAUAUGUCUUCUCUAGUAAUGGUUAAAGCCAUUUCUCUCCUUAAGGCAACAAUCAAAAGUCUCUAAACCCUUUUCUGGGUCAGGGGCCUAUAAGGACGUGGGGCCCUCCUGUGACAGUGAUGCCUGAAAUGGCAGAUAAGCCCCUCGGUUGGAAUAACUGCAAAUUGAGAAAGAGGAGGAAGAGAAGAGAAGAGACGACUAGAAUCCUAGAGAAACACAAUAAAGUAAAAAAUAAAGCCGCGUGAUGACGAGGUUUGGUUUUCUUCAUGAGCCAACGUUCAACGUAAGUACAAACCAUCACCCCAACAUCACAGUGUUUUAGUUUAUCGCUGGUACCGCAAUAGUAUUUUCUGUUUCUCCGCAGGUAUAGACGCCACAGUAUUGCGGAUUAAAUAGGGGUCUGGCUAGAAAUCAUUGACACUACUAUUUAUGCAAACAACUGACGGUGAAGUUUCAAUCAGUUAACACAGGCGACAUUAAAUUUUGAGGCACAGCUAAGGACGGGCAUGGCCUUUACUUAGUGAAGCAGACCCUCCCUCCCCGUCGCCUCUUCUCUCCUCUUCCUCCUCUUUCUCAAUUUGCAGUGUCUUUGUGUUUAAAGGCCUCAGGUUUAUAGGAGAGAAAGUCUCUUGCUCCACAAACAUACCUUGAAAUUGGAUUCUUGCUGAGAAAUGGACCUUGUUUCACAAAUGAUAUUUGGAUCCAAUGGGCAGGAUGUGUUUAAGUAUUUUGUUUCAAAAUUUUGAUUGAAAAUGAAAGAUUCUCUAUAAAAUAAUACAUUUUCUUGGCACCGCUAAACACCUGGAUUCUGAACAGAUUGAAUCCAUGCUUUAGGUUAAAAAAAUUAGUUUUGUGCUUUUCUGUCAAAAAUAUGAAAGAAGUUCAGUAAAUGGGUUACACAUAAGCAGGUCUGUGUCUGGGGACCGACCAGACGGUCUCUGGAACAUUCGUUAGUGAGACAGACGACGGAAAUGCAAAAGAUGAAUAGAAGACUUCCUGAAUUAUUCAGAACUACCACAGUAGAGUAUUCAAAAGACGAGGUUUUUUAGGCAUUUCUUGAUAUUUCUGAAGAACUCUUAUGGCAACUUCAAAGGGCCUCUGACCAAGCCAUUCCAUCGCUGAACAUUUUUCUAAGGAAAUAUUUAUAAACGGUGCAAGUACACAAAGUUAGAAUGCACAUCACAAUAUGUCUUCACAGCAAAAAAUUGAAAGCACUUUAAAUAUUCAAAAGUGGAGUUCCCGUCGUGGCGCAGUGGUUAACGGGAAUCCGACUAGGAACCCAGGGUUCGAUCCCUGGCCUUGCUCAGCGGGUUAAGGACCCACCGUGGCUGUGAGCUGUGGUGCAGGUCGCAGACGCAGCUCGGAUCCCGCGUUGCUGUGGCUGUGGUGUAGGCCGGCGGCUACGGCUCCCAUUAGACCCCUAGCCUGGGAACCUCCAUAUGCCGUGGGGGUGGCCCUAGAAAAGGCGAAAAGAAAAAAUAAAUAAAUAUUCAAAAGUAAGGGACUGCUGCAUAAAUUACGAUAACGCAAUAGAAGACUAUCCAAGCAUAAACCAUCGUGUAACUCCAUACCAAUUUAUGUGGAAUUACAUUUUUGGUAUGUUAAUAGUUUUAAAAACUGUGCUGCAGAACAGUAGAGCAUAAUCAAACUAGGUUUGAAAACUCAUGUGCAGGCCGCCCUCUGUAUGCGCAUAUGAGGGAAAAAACCUGAGAAAAAAAUCCCAAGAAAAUGAAUGUAAGAAAAAAUCCUUCCAGGGCUCUUCUCUGAGUCAUUACUGAGUAAUAUUUGACAGGUCACUUACCGUUACCUUUUGCUUCUUACGAAGAGAUUAAACGCCACCAUUCCUUUUAUAUAUCCUUAGAUGUAAGGGUCAACCCACCUAAAGCGAUGGCCACUGGUGGGAAAAGCAUGGCCAGUAGGGUUCUACCAUCAUAACUGGUAAGAUACAACUUUGUACCCACUCUAAUUAUACAGAAAAAUACAUUAUUUUUAGCAUAGUUUUUUUUUUUCAUUUCAUUUAUAUAUUUAUUUAUUUAUUUUGUCUUUUUGCUAUUUCUUUGGGCCACUCCUGCGGCAUAUGCAGGUUCCCAGGCUAGGGGUUGAAUCGGAGCUGUAGCCACCGGCCUACACCAGAGCCACAGCAACGAGGGAUCCGAGCCGCGUCUGCAACCUACACCACAGCUCACGGCAACACCAGAUCAUUAACCCACUGAGCAAGGGCAGGGACCGAACCCGCAACCUCAUGGCUCCUAGUUGGAUUUGUUAACCACUGCGCCACGACGGGAACUCCCUGUUUUUAGCAGUUUUAAGGUCACAGCAAGAUUGAGAGGAAGGUGCAGAGAUUUCUCAUACAUCAUCAUUUUCUGAUUUCCCAAGUUGGAAACUUUAGAUGACUGAAUUUAGAUUUUUCUCUUUUUUUAAUAUAUGCAUUUGAUGCUAUAAAUUCCCCUCUUUGCACUGAUUUUUAAUAAAGUGUAUUUUAAUUUUCAUUUAGUUCAAAAUAUUUAAAAAUUUUUGAGAUUUCUUCUUUGACCCAUGUAUUAUUUAGAAGUAUUUUAUUUAAUCUCCAUGUAUCUUGGGAUUUUCCAAUUACCUUUUCAUUAUAGUUUCUAGCUUAAUUCCACUGUGGCCUAUGGGGAGACAGUGUAUAAUUUCUACUUUUUAAAAUUUGCUCAGGUGUGUUUCAUGGCCCAGAGUGCAGUCCAUCUUGAUGAAUAUUCCAUGUGAGCUUGAGAAAAAUGUGUAUUCUGUUCCUGUUGGACACAGUAGUCUAGAGAUGUCCAUUCUAUCCAACUGACUCGUGGCACUGUUGAGUUCAACUACGUCCUUACUGAUUUUCGGUCUGUUCAACCUGUCCAUUCUUGGUAGAAUUCUCCAGCUAUCACAGUGCAUUCUUCUACUUCUCCUUGAAGUUCUAUCAGUUUUUGCCUCUCGUAGUUUGACACGGUGUCGUUAGGCACAUGCAUGGUAAGAACUGCUACAUCUUCUUGGACAACUGCCCCCUAACUUUUCUUGCUUUGAAGGUUGCUCUGUCUGCAAUUAAACAGUUGCUCCUGCUUUCUGUUGAAUAGUGCUAGCAUGCUAUUUCUCCAUCCAUAUACUUUUUUUUUUUUUUUGUCUUUUUGUCUUUUAGGGCUGCACACGCAGCAUAUGGAGGUUCCCAGGCUAGGGGUGCAGUCGGUCCUCACGGAUGCUAGUCGUGUUCGCUGACCGCUGAGCCACGGCAGGAACCCCUCCAUCCAUUUACUUUUAAUGUAUGUGUGUCUUUAUAGUUAAAAUGGGUUUCUUAUAGCCAACACCCAGCUGAGUAGUGAGGUCUCCUGUGGUCUGCUCUGAUAAUCUUCGUCUUUUAAUGGGUGCAUUUAAGCCACUGACAUUCAGAGCGAUUACUGAUACAGUUAGAUUCGUAUUUACCGUAUUCAUCACACUUUCUAUUUGUUGUCCUUGUCUUU
This 4138-nucleotide long non-coding RNA is filed under the name Sus scrofa (pig). Its description in RNAcentral is "lncRNA (ENSSSCG00000052985.1)". The record is from RNAcentral. Lineage: Eukaryota; Metazoa; Chordata; Mammalia; Artiodactyla; Suidae.